CAAGUACCAUGAGGGAAAGAUGAAAAGGACUUUGAAAAGAGAGUUAAAAGUGCCUGAAAUUGCUGAAAGGGAAGCGAAUGGAACCAGUGCUCUUGGCGAGAUUGUUGUGCGCUAUGGUGAUUGCGGGCUGCUUCAGCGCAAGCGAAGUAGUUUGUAUUGAGCUUGACGCGCGCAGUGUUUCUUACCUUGUGCGUCAUCGUCAGUUCACAGGCGAGGAUACUUCUAAGGACAUGGUAACUCUUCCACGGAGGUGUGAAUGUCUUUGGUAAUACUCGCUUGUAGACUGUCACGAUGACUAAAUGGUUUUAUUCGACCCGUC
Molecule: ribosomal RNA, 319 nt
Filed under: Amphidoma sp.
Lineage: Eukaryota; Dinophyceae; Gonyaulacales; Amphidomataceae
Description: partial large subunit ribosomal RNA
Rfam family: Eukaryotic large subunit ribosomal RNA
Source: RNAcentral